UACGAAGGGGGCUAGCGUUGCUCGGAAUCACUGGGCGUAAAGGGCGCGUAGGCGGAUCUUUAAGUCGGGGGUGAAAUCCUGGAGCUCAACUCCAGAACUGCCUUUGAUACUGGCGACCUUGAGUCCGGGAGAGGUGAGUGGAACUGCGAGUGUAGAGGUGAAAUUCGUAGAUAUUCGCAAGAACACCAGUGGCGAAGGCGGCUCACUGGCCCGGUACUGACGCUGAGGUGCGAAAGCGUGGGGAGCAAACAGG
Molecule: ribosomal RNA, 253 nt
Filed under: uncultured bacterium
Lineage: Bacteria
Description: partial 16S ribosomal RNA
Rfam family: Bacterial small subunit ribosomal RNA
Source: RNAcentral